UGGGGAAUCUUGCACAAUGGGCGAAAGCCUGAUGCAGCGACGCCGCGUUCGGGAUGAAGGCCUUCGGGUUGUAAACCGCUUUCAGCAGGGACGAGGCCGCAAGGUGACGGUACCUGCAGAAAAAGCCCCGGCUAACUACGUGCCAGCAGCCGCGGUAAUACGUAGGGGGCUAGCGUUGUCCGGAAUCACUGGGCGUAAAGGGUUCGCAGGCGGAAUAACAAGUCAGAUGUGAAAGGCAUGGGCUCAAACCAUGUAAGCAUUUGAAACUGUAAUUCUUGAGAAGUGGAGAGGUAAGUGGAAUUCCUAGUGUAGCGGUGAAAUGCGUAGAUAUUAGGAGGAAUACCUGUGGCGAAGGCGACUUACUGGACACAAAUCUGACGCUGAGGAACGAAAGCGUGGGUAGCAAACAGG
RNAcentral lists this ribosomal RNA (411 nucleotides) under Verrucomicrobiota bacterium. RNAcentral's name for it is "Verrucomicrobia bacterium partial 16S ribosomal RNA". It matches the Rfam family "Bacterial small subunit ribosomal RNA", at positions 355 to 776 of the family's 1533-position model. The record is from RNAcentral. Lineage: Bacteria; Pseudomonadati; Verrucomicrobiota.